UACAGAGGUCUCGAGCGUUAGGCGGAAUCACUGGGCUUAAAGCGUGUGUAGGUGGAUCGUUAAGUCCCUUGUGAAAUCCCACGGCUUAACCGUGGAACUGCUUGGUAUACUGGCGGUCUUGAGCCAGCUAGGGGCUACCGGAACAAAUGGUGGAGCGGUGAAAUGCGUAGAUAUCCACAGGAACUCCGGUGGCGAAGGCGGCAUGCUGGACCCGAUCUGACGCUGAGGCGCGAAAGCCAGGGGAGCAAACGGG
RNAcentral lists this ribosomal RNA (253 nucleotides) under uncultured bacterium. Its description in RNAcentral is "partial 16S ribosomal RNA". It matches the Rfam family "Bacterial small subunit ribosomal RNA", at positions 524 to 776 of the family's 1533-position model. The record is from RNAcentral.